RNAcentral lists this ribosomal RNA (253 nucleotides) under uncultured bacterium. RNAcentral's name for it is "partial 16S ribosomal RNA". It matches the Rfam family "Bacterial small subunit ribosomal RNA", at positions 524 to 776 of the family's 1533-position model. The record is from RNAcentral.
UACGGAGGGUGCAAGCGUUGUUCGGAAUGACUGGGCGUAAAGCGCACGUAGGCGGGUUUGCAAGUCAGAUGUGAAAUCCCCGGGCUUAACCUGGGAACUGCACCUGAAACUGCAGAUCUUGAAUGCUUGAGAGGUUGGUGGAAUUCCUGGUGUAGGAGUGAAAUCCGUAGAUAUCAGGAGGAACACCGGAGGCGAAGGCGGCCAACUGGUGAUGCAUUGACGCUGAGGUGCGAAAGCGUGGGGAGCAAACAGG